GACGAACGCUGGCGGCGUGCUUAACACAUGCAAGUCGAACGGAAAGGCCCCUUUGGGGGUACUCGAGUGGCGAACGGGUGCGUAACACGUGAGUAAACUGCCCUUGACUUCGGGAUAACUUCAGGAAACUGGGGCUAAUACCGGAUAGGAAUCCUUGCUGCAUGGUGGGGGUUGGAAAGCUUCGGCGGUUUUGGAUGGACUCGCGGCUUAUCAGCUUGUUGGUGGGGUAGUGGCUUACCAAGGCUUUGACGGGUAGCCGGCCUGAGAGGGCGACCGGCCGCACUGAGACUGAGAUACGGCCCAGGCGCCUACGGGAGGCAGCAGGGGGGAAGAUUGCACAAUGGGCGGAAGCCUGAUGCAGCAACGCCGCGUGCGGGAUGACGGCCUUCUGGUUGUAAACCGCUUUCAGCAGGGGCGAAGCUUGUGGUGACGGUACCUGCAGAAGAAGCACCGGCUAACUACGUG
This 465-nucleotide ribosomal RNA is filed under the name uncultured bacterium. RNAcentral's name for it is "partial 16S ribosomal RNA". It matches the Rfam family "Bacterial small subunit ribosomal RNA", at positions 28 to 507 of the family's 1533-position model. The record is from RNAcentral.